GGAUUAGAUACCCUGGUAGUCCACGCUGUAAACGAUGUCUACUAGUUGUUGGGUGACUUGAUCACUGAGUAACGUAGCUAACGCGGUAAGUAGACCGCCUGGGGAGUACGGUCGCAAGAUUAAAACUCAAAUGAAUUGACGGGGGCCCGCACAAGCGGUGGAGCAUGUGGUUUAAUUCGACGCAACGCGAAGAACCUUACCUACUCUUGACAUCCUGCGAAGACUUUAGAGAUAGAGUUGUGCCUUCGGGAGCGCAGUGACAGGUGCUGCAUGGCUGUCGUCAGCUCGUGCCG
Molecule: ribosomal RNA, 293 nt
Filed under: uncultured bacterium
Lineage: Bacteria
Description: partial 16S ribosomal RNA
Rfam family: Bacterial small subunit ribosomal RNA
Source: RNAcentral